RNAcentral lists this transfer RNA (60 nucleotides) under Neohydatothrips samayunkur. Its description in RNAcentral is "tRNA-His". Lineage: Eukaryota; Metazoa; Arthropoda; Insecta; Thysanoptera; Thripidae. The record is from RNAcentral.
AUUUUAUUAGUUUAAAAAAAACAUUGAUUUGUGGAAUCAAAGAUGUUUAUACAUAAAAUA